RNAcentral lists this transfer RNA (84 nucleotides) under Spirochaetia bacterium. RNAcentral's name for it is "tRNA-Leu". It matches the Rfam family "tRNA". Rfam says of the family: Transfer RNA (tRNA) molecules are approximately 80 nucleotides in length. Their secondary structure includes four short double-helical elements and three loops (D, anti-codon, and T loops). RNAcentral also lists the same sequence under 2 other names. Lineage: Bacteria; Pseudomonadati; Spirochaetota; Spirochaetia. The record is from RNAcentral.
GCCCGGAUGGUGAAAUUGGUAGACACGCUAGGUUCAGGGUCUAGUGGCCGUAAGGCUGUGGAGGUUCAAGUCCUCUUCCGGGCA